This 218-nucleotide long non-coding RNA is filed under the name Felis catus (domestic cat). RNAcentral describes it as "lncRNA (ENSFCAG00000050933.1)". Lineage: Eukaryota; Metazoa; Chordata; Mammalia; Carnivora; Felidae. The record is from RNAcentral.
UAUGAGAAAACCGUAUUAGUCCGCGGGAAGUUUUCUUUGGGGUUGCAGAAAUUUGGUUUACGGAGCUCGGCUUGGGAAAUGUCUUCAAUGCAUCAGGUAUCCACCUCUUUAUCUGAUGUGAUCCACUAUUAUCCAGUAUUAUCACCCAGCUUCUCUAACCUCAUCUACCAAACAAUUUGUGCUUUCUUGUCAUUGGUAGGGUAAGUGAACCUCUCUUU